UUGGGUAGUAUUAGUUAUGUUCUUGAAACUUAAAAAAUUUGGCGGUAUUUUAGUCUAUUUAGAGGAACCUGUGCUAUAAUCGAUAGUCCACGAUGGACCUUACUUAAUUUUGUUUUUCAGUUUGUAUACCGCCGUUAUUUGAAUAUUUUUUUAGAAUAAUAAUUUUCAAUAUUUUUUAUUAAAAAUUAAAUCAGGUCAAGGUGCAGUUUAUGAUUAAGUAGUUAUGGGUUACAAUAAAUUUAUUUAUACGGAAUUAGUUUUUAAAUAGGCUUAUUAAGGUGGAUUUAAUAGUAAAAUUUUAUAGAUUAUAAAUUUGAUUUUAGCUCUAAAAUAUGUACACAUCGCCCGUCGCUCUUAUUAUUUAAUAUAAGAUAAGUCGUAACAUAGUAGAUGUACUGGAAAGUGUAUCUAGAAUGACAAUUUGUAGCUUAUUAGUAAAGUAUUUCAUUUACAUUGAGAGGAUUAUUGUGCAAUUCAAUAUAAAUUGAUAUUUAAUAAUUAUUUAUUUUAUUUUUGUUGAUUUUUUUUAUUAAAAAUAUUUAUAAUUUUUUAGUAUGAUUAUAGAAGAAAUAAUUUUAAUUAUAGUUUAUUAGUAUUGUGAAAGAAUUU
This 609-nucleotide ribosomal RNA is filed under the name Plagiozopelma flavipodex. RNAcentral's name for it is "partial 12S ribosomal RNA". The stretch from base 1 to 419 matches the Rfam family "Microsporidia small subunit ribosomal RNA", at positions 750 to 1311 of the family's 1311-position model. The record is from RNAcentral. Lineage: Eukaryota; Metazoa; Arthropoda; Insecta; Diptera; Dolichopodidae.